CCACCUAUAAUUAUCGGGCCUCGUAUAACCUCGGGAAUAAGGCUCGAGGGUCUCUACCAGAAACCAUAAAUUUCUGAUUACGACCUGCUUGUAAGAAUGA
RNAcentral lists this non-coding RNA (100 nucleotides) under Endozoicomonas sp. RNAcentral describes it as "Guanine sequence". It matches the Rfam family "Purine riboswitch aptamer". From Rfam's summary of the family: Riboswitches are metabolite binding domains within certain messenger RNAs that serve as precision sensors for their corresponding targets. Allosteric rearrangement of mRNA structure is mediated by ligand binding, and this results in modulation of gene expression. A class of riboswitches that selectively recognises guanine and becomes saturated at concentrations as low as 5 nM. Lineage: Bacteria; Pseudomonadati; Pseudomonadota; Gammaproteobacteria; Oceanospirillales; Endozoicomonadaceae. The record is from RNAcentral. RNAcentral also lists the same sequence under 1 other name.